UUCUCUCUCUCCCUAUUGUCGCCGUCUCCAAUUUUUUACAGAGUUUUUGUUAAUUUCAUAGGAGCUUUUCUACGCAACAACACUAGAUCAGCAGAAUUAAACAUGAAUUUUCAGUGGAUUCAGCUUUAUUUGAUGUCUUCUUUUUUUCUCUUCUCAAUCUCUUUGUUUCCUUCCAAACCCUAAUCUCUCUUUUGUUUCAUAAUCAAAAUCCAAUUAUUCUGUUCAAUACAUGUCGAUGAUGGCGGGUAUACAAGCAGUGCGAUGUUCUCGUGGUCACUGUUGUUGGGUGCCAAAAAUUGAAAGACACCGAAUGGUUUUUUGAGUAUAACGGCGCAAGAUACCUUACCAGAACUUGCAGAGAUGGUGGAAAGAAAGCUGUUUUCCAAGAGAUGUUUAUGUUUACUUUGCUUGAAGGGCUUAGGGAUCUUAAGGAUUCAAUUGCAGAAGGUUCUUUCUCAGGGAUAUGACAAUUGCACCUAAAAUUUGCAGACUAAAACUGGGAGAAUUUUCUCAUGGGUGGUUGAGUUAGUUCAUCCUUUUAAACGUUACAAGAUAUGUCAUUGCGUGUGAAUGUUCGAUAAAGUUAAACAGAGGAGCUUGGACUGAUCAUGAAGACAAAUCUAGGAGUAAAGAGAUUUCGUCACCCAUCAAACAUAUGUACAGAGUACUUGCUUUUGUACUCAAUUUUCAACACAAAUGACAAAGUAUGAUAAUUGGUCGAGACUGAGCCUGCUGGAGAAAGUGAAGGGUAUACAUUUUUCUAUACAUAAAGGAUUUAUGUUCAAUUGUUUUGUUGAGCA
This is a long non-coding RNA of Camelina sativa (false flax), 800 nucleotides long. RefSeq lists it as uncharacterized. The record is from RefSeq and is a predicted model, not a curated record. Lineage: Eukaryota; Viridiplantae; Streptophyta; Magnoliopsida; Brassicales; Brassicaceae.